RNAcentral lists this ribosomal RNA (376 nucleotides) under uncultured bacterium. Its description in RNAcentral is "bacterial SSU rRNA". It matches the Rfam family "Bacterial small subunit ribosomal RNA", at positions 790 to 1167 of the family's 1533-position model. The record is from RNAcentral.
GUAGUCCACGCCGUAAACUAUGUCUACUAGCCGUUGGGAGACUUGAUCUCUUAGUGGCGCAGCUAACGCGAUAAGUAGACCGCCUGGGGAGUACGGUCGCAAGACUAAAACUCAAAUGAAUUGACGGGGGCCCGCACAAGCGGUGGAGCAUGUGGUUUAAUUCGAUGCAACGCGAAGAACCUUACCAGGUCUUGACAUCCUGCGAACCUUUCAGAGAUGAGAGGGUGCCUUCGGGAGCGCAGAGACAGGUGCUGCAUGGCUGUCGUCAGCUCGUGUCGUGAGAUGUUGGGUUAAGUCCCGUAACGAGCGCAACCCUUGUCCUUAGUUGCCAUCAUUUAGUUGGGAACUCUAAGGAGACUGCCGGUGACAAACCGGA